UCCUCUCCGUCAAAGAGGGGUCGUGGGGGUCUGGCUGCAGCCAAAUACAGCGGUCCCGGGGCGGCUUGGUCGGCUAGCCAGCUGCCGUUUGUAAGAGACGAAAACAUCUACGACUUGAGAGGAGCCCGUAGCUUCCCCACGCUGGAAGACGAUGGUCGGGCAGAUGUACUUCCCUGCACCCCUCCCUCGUUCGAGGAGGCCACCACAGCCUCCAUCGCCACCACGCUCUCCUCCACCACCUCCCUUUCCAUCCCAGAACGCUCCCCGUCGGACACCUCCGAACACCCACGCUACAGGAGACACACCCAGUCCAGCCAUGAAGAAACGUAAGUAAAACACACU
Molecule: long non-coding RNA, 342 nt
Organism: Sinocyclocheilus rhinocerous
Lineage: Eukaryota; Metazoa; Chordata; Actinopteri; Cypriniformes; Cyprinidae
Exons: 3
Source: RefSeq, a predicted model, not a curated record